GUCUACUAGUUGUUGGUGGAGUAAAAUCCAUGAGUAACGCAGCUAACGCGUGAAGUAGACGCCUGGGGAGUACGAUCGCAAGAUUAAAACUCAAAUGAAUUGACGGGGGCCCGCACAAGCGGUGGAUUAUGUGGAUUAAUUCGAUGCAACGCGAAAAACCUUACCUGGCCUUGACAUGUACCGAAUUUACCAGAGAUGGUUUAGUGCUCGAAAGAGAACGGUAACACAGGUGCUGCAUGGCUGUCGUCAG
RNAcentral lists this ribosomal RNA (250 nucleotides) under uncultured bacterium. RNAcentral's name for it is "partial 16S ribosomal RNA". It matches the Rfam family "Bacterial small subunit ribosomal RNA", at positions 811 to 1058 of the family's 1533-position model. The record is from RNAcentral.